RNAcentral lists this long non-coding RNA (223 nucleotides) under Malus domestica (apple). RNAcentral describes it as "long non-coding RNA (MDOM_LNC002031)". Lineage: Eukaryota; Viridiplantae; Streptophyta; Magnoliopsida; Rosales; Rosaceae. The record is from RNAcentral.
CGACACUCUUUGUUUUUGUCUUUUCAUUCAUUAGCCUAGCAAUAUGUUGUAUACUUCAAGUUGUAUUCAAGUUAUUUCUAGUAAGAUGACUAUUAAAAGACUCUCUCAGUGAUUGAAUCCGAUUUGAAUAUGUCUUCACAGUUCAAACUAGAUCCAAGUUCUAAGCUCUCGGGCAUGUAAGUUUGAUCAUUUAAAAGUCCUUGGCCUCAAGGCAUAAAAAAGA